RNAcentral lists this ribosomal RNA (258 nucleotides) under uncultured bacterium. RNAcentral's name for it is "partial 16S ribosomal RNA". It matches the Rfam family "Bacterial small subunit ribosomal RNA", at positions 1243 to 1500 of the family's 1533-position model. The record is from RNAcentral.
AGGGAAGCGAGCCCGCGAGGGGGAGCGAAUCCCAAAAAUAACGUCCCAGUUCGGACUGUAGUCUGCAACCCGACUACAUGAAGCCGGAAUCGCUAGUAAUCGCGGAUCAGAAUGCCGCGGUGAAUACGUUCCCGGGUCUUGUACACACCGCCCGUCACACCAUGGGAGUCGGAAAUGCCCGAAGUCUGUGACCCAACCGCAAGGAGGGAGCAGCCGAAGGCAGGUCGGAUGACUGGGGUGAAGUCGUAACAAGGUAAC